AUGUUAUAUUUGGACCUGAAGAUGAAGAUUUCCAUCCAUUUCUUGUACCGGGUGGUGAUUUAAGGUUAGUCAAGAACAGUUUGACUGAUUGGAACAGCAAAGAUCCAACAAGUCUGUUGGCUAUUGUUGAGGAAUUGAGGGAUAAAUACAAGUCCUACCAAAAGAGGCUUGUUGGAGAAGUUGAUGAUGAUCGAUUGAAGUUUGAAAUUAGCACUAUCUUAUCUAGGGAGGGGAUUGAAAUGCAUAUGAGUUCUGGUUUUGAGAAGCCAGAGGAGGUCAAAUUUGCAGUUCCUUUAAUGGACAUGAACAUAAAUAAAAUGAUACUUGCAUGUCCCUGGAGGAAUCCACAAAAGAUAUACUUACAGGUUGUUUAUCCUGUUGGUAGAAAGUAUGUAUCUGCUCCUUCAGCACCUCGUCUGAAAUUAAUGUCUACUUCUGAGUUGAAAGCUCUAUUUUCCAUUGAUGAUGUCAAACUUC
RNAcentral lists this unclassified non-coding RNA (477 nucleotides) under Hevea brasiliensis (rubber tree). The record is from RNAcentral. Lineage: Eukaryota; Viridiplantae; Streptophyta; Magnoliopsida; Malpighiales; Euphorbiaceae.